UCAAUGUGAACAAUAUGGGCAGGAAAUAAUUAAUUAGACAAAAACAGAAUGGUUUAGCAGGGCUAUAGAUAACUUAUGGGGUAUAUUGGGUAAUUCACCCCCUGUUUUUGACAACAAUAGCGUUUUUGUAAAUUCAAUAGAGUUUUAGCAAAAAUGUUCACCCCCUACUUUUUUAAACUCAAUUGGGUAAUUUAAGGAAUGACAUAUAUAACAUAAUAUUAAGGUAACUAUAUUAUUUAUACAAAUGGAAUUCAAAAAGGUACCUGUACAUAAACAAUUACUGAAUUUCUUAUCAAAAUGUGCAUGCGUCAGAAAACUUCACAACAGAGCAGUUAUCAACCAGUAGGAUGACCUUCCUCUUCUGGAUCCGUAUAUCCUUGUUGAAGGCAGUCAGCAAUUGUGUGAAUAUGGCCCCCGUCAUCCACACAUUGGAGUUGCUGUCAUAUACGACAGGCAAGGAAGCAGUGUGGUUGUCUGCUUUUGCCGAUGACGAGUAGCUGCUGUUUGUCCGUACCCGCCAUGUUGCAGGCGACCAUGGCAGGUAUCCGGUCCUUCAUUUUUAUGCUCCCCCAAAAAGUUUGGGGGGGAGCAUAUAGUUGCCGCUUCGUCUGUCCGUCCGUCCAUUUGUCCGUGCGUCCGUCCGUGCACAAUUUUUAUCCGGGCUAUUUCUCAGCAACUAAUGACCGGAUUUCAAUGAAACUUUAUGGGAAGCUUCACUACCAAAAGGAGAUGUGCAUAUUAUCAGCGGGUUUUGGUCGGAUGAUUUUUUUACAGAGUUAUGGCCCUUUGAAAUUUUCCAUUAACUGUACAUUUAGUGCAAUUCUUGUCCGGGCUAUUUCUUAGCAACUAAUGACCGGAAUUCAAUGAAACUUUAUGGGAGGCUUCACUACCAAGAGGAGAUGUGCAUAUUAUCAGCGGGUUCUGGUCGGAUGAUUUUUCACAGAGUUAUGUCCCUUUGAAUUUUUCUAUUAACUGAGCAUAUAGUGCAAUUCAUGUCCGGGCUAUUUCUCAGCAACUAAUGACCGGAAUUCAAUGAAACUUUUAUGGGAAGCUUCACUACCAAGAGGAGAUGUGCAUAUUAUCAGCCCGUUUUGGUCGGAUGAUUUUUCACAGAGUUAUGGCCCUUUGAAAUUUUCCAUUAACUGUACAUAUAGUGCAAUUCUUGUCCUGGCUAUUUCUCAGCAACUAAUGACCGGAAUUCAAUGAAACUUUAUGGGAAGCUUCACUACCAAGAGGAGAUGUGCAUAUUAUCAGCGGGUUCUGGUCGAAUGAUUUUUCACAGAGUUAUGGCCCUUUGAAAUUUUAUAUAAAAAUAUUCUUGUCCCCCACAACUACUGUGCCCUCAAGACGUUUCCUUUUAUCUGAAUAUAUAUUGCAAUAUUUUGACAAAUAAAACCUUUGGGGAGCAUCACCUGUCUCCGAAGGUUUCUUGUUUUGCUUCCGGCCACCGCUUCUUCUUUUCUGACUAGCGUUACGUCUGGUAGAUCCCUGUAGUAGAUUCCCGUCUCGUCUGCGUUGUAGAUAUCUUCCUCCGCGUAGUUCUUCAGGUUGUCUGGUAGAACAUUUUUAAUGUAGUUUUCAGCUUGUGAUACAUCCACAUCUUUUUUCUGGCCGUGUGGUUUUUUGAAGACGAUGUUAUUUUGCGCUUUCCAUCUAGAUAACCACCUGGUAGAGGGCUUGAACUCGGGCUUGUCCAGCAUCUUUGCUAGGGCACAGGUUAAUUCUUCGAGAACAGGCACAGACACUGGGAUGUCUCUUGACCUGGCAGUUGUGAAUUGGGUUCAAAGCACUGCUUUCAUAUUAGCCGAUUUCCCAGAACGAUGACGUUUUCGUUCUGGAAUAGUGUUGGACUCAUAUUCCUCAAUUAUAAUGGCUCGAUUGGAGGAUAUACAAGA
Long non-coding RNA from Dreissena polymorpha, 1895 nucleotides. RefSeq lists it as uncharacterized. Lineage: Eukaryota; Metazoa; Mollusca; Bivalvia; Myida; Dreissenidae. The transcript has 2 exons. The record is from RefSeq and is a predicted model, not a curated record.